GCCAAGGUGGUGAAGUGGUAGCAUGUCUGCCUAGUGAGCAGGUGACCUGGGUUCUAAUCCCAGCCUUGGUA
Molecule: non-coding RNA, 71 nt
Organism: Schistocerca piceifrons (Central American locust)
Lineage: Eukaryota; Metazoa; Arthropoda; Insecta; Orthoptera; Acrididae
Source: the annotation of a RefSeq genome assembly